UACGAGGGGGGCGAGCGUUGUUCGGAAUUAUUGGGCGUAAAGGGUGCGUAGGCGGUUUUGUAAGUCUUAUGUGAAAUCUAUGGGCUCAACUCAUAGACUGCAUGAGAAACUGCCGGGCUUGAGUAUGGGAGAGGUGAGUGGAAUUCCUGGUGUAGCGGUGAAAUGCGUAGAUAUCAGGAGGAACACCUGUGGCGAAAGCGGCUCACUGGACCAUAACUGACGCUGAGACACGAAAGCGUGGGUAGCAAACAGG
This 253-nucleotide ribosomal RNA is filed under the name uncultured bacterium. RNAcentral's name for it is "partial 16S ribosomal RNA". It matches the Rfam family "Bacterial small subunit ribosomal RNA", at positions 524 to 776 of the family's 1533-position model. The record is from RNAcentral.